RNAcentral lists this long non-coding RNA (319 nucleotides) under Elaeis guineensis (African oil palm). RNAcentral describes it as "long non-coding RNA (EGUI_LNC009185)". The record is from RNAcentral. Lineage: Eukaryota; Viridiplantae; Streptophyta; Magnoliopsida; Arecales; Arecaceae.
UCCUAGGUGUGAUAGUUGACGAUGCCCUCCUCUUAGUAUUUUGCUCCUAUCAUCAUCACUAUCAGAUCUAUUUUUUUUAAUUUCAAUUUUAAAAAUUUGAAAAUUAGUACUUUUAUGUAUCUGAAGAUUUUGAAUUUCAAAUAUUGAUGGGUUGGUAGUGGAGAAUUUGAAAUUUAAAUUUUAAAUUUGAAUUUUGGUGUUGUUGGUCUGGUGGGACUCUUUUUUUUUUCUUUUGCUAUAGUUUUUUUUCUUUUUUUAUACUUUUUUUAAAUAAAUUUUAGUGACUAUUGUGCUAAAGCACAUUAAUCUCCUUUUAUAU